UCCCUGGUGGCUCACAUGGUAAAGCGUCUGCCUGCAAUGCGGGAGACCCGGGUUCGAUCCCUGGGUUGGGAA
RNAcentral lists this transfer RNA (72 nucleotides) under Ovis aries (sheep). It matches the Rfam family "tRNA". From Rfam's summary of the family: Transfer RNA (tRNA) molecules are approximately 80 nucleotides in length. Their secondary structure includes four short double-helical elements and three loops (D, anti-codon, and T loops). Lineage: Eukaryota; Metazoa; Chordata; Mammalia; Artiodactyla; Bovidae. The record is from Rfam by way of RNAcentral.